This 855-nucleotide ribosomal RNA is filed under the name uncultured bacterium. RNAcentral describes it as "bacterial SSU rRNA". It matches the Rfam family "Bacterial small subunit ribosomal RNA", at positions 8 to 878 of the family's 1533-position model. The record is from RNAcentral.
AGAGUUUGAUCCUGGCUCAGGGUUAACGCUGGCGGCGUGCCUAACACAUGCAAGUCGAACGGUUCUAAGCGCGAGCUUAGGAUAGUGGCGAACGGGUGAGUAAAAGGUAGGAAUCUACCCCUUGGACGGAGAUAGCUACUGGAAACGGUAGGUAAACUUCGAUAAGCCCGAGAGGGGAAAGUGGUGAGACAGCCGAGGGAUGAGCCUACUCUCCAUCGGGUAGUUGGUGAGAUAAAAGCUUACCAAGCCGAUGACGGAUAACCGGUGUGAGAGCAUGAACGGUCACAAGGGCACUGAGAGACGGGCCCUACUCCUACGGGAGGCAGCAGUGGGGAAUCUUGGACAAUGGGCGAAAGCCUGAUCCAGCGACGCCGCGUGGAGGAAGAAGUCCUUCGGGAUGUAAACUUCUGAACUAGCCGAAUAAAAGGCCUGUGGACACACAGGAGAAGAAAGUAGGCUAGGAAAAGUCCCGGCUAACUACGUGCCAGCAGCCGCGGUAAGACGUAGGGGGCAAGCGUUACCCGGAAUUACUGGGCGUAAAGGGGGCGUAGGCGGUAAAAGAAGUCAUCUGUGAAAACCUAUUGCUCAACGAUAGGCUAGCGGAUGAAACUGAAUUACUUGAGGGCACCAGAGGUAGACGGAAUUACCCGAGUAGGGGUGAAAUCCGCAGAUACGGGUAGGAACGCCGGUGGAGAAGUCGGUCUACUGGGGUGCACCAGACGCUGAGGCCCGAAAGCUAGGGGAGCAAACCGGAUUAGAUACCCGGGUAGUCCUAGCCGUAAACGAUGCUCACUAGGUGUAGGGAGUGAUAAACUCUCUGUGCUGAAGCGAACGCGCUAAGUGAGCCGCCUGGGG